GAUGAACGCUGCUAGAAUGCUUAACACAUGCAAGUCUACUUGAACUUCGGUUUGGGUGGCGGACGGGUGAGUAACGCGUAAAGAACUUGCCUCACAGAUAGGGACAACAUUUGGAAACGAAUGCUAAUACCUGAUAUUAUGAUUUUAGGGCAUCCUAGAAUUAUGAAAGCUAUAUGCACUGUGAGAGAGCUUUGCGUCCCAUUAGCUAGUUGGAGAGGUAACGGCUCACCAAGGCGAUGAUGGGUAGCCGGCCUGAGAGGGUGAUCGGCCACAAGGGGACUGAGACACGGCCCUUACUCCUACGGGAGGCAGCAGUGGGGAAUAUUGGACAAUGGACCAAGAGUCUGAUCCAGCAAUUCUGUGUGCACGAUGAAGUUUUUCGGAAUGUAAAGUGCUUUCAGUUGGGAAGAAAAAAAUGACGGUACCAACAGAAGAAGUGACGGCUAAAUACGUG
This 454-nucleotide ribosomal RNA is filed under the name uncultured bacterium. Its description in RNAcentral is "partial 16S ribosomal RNA". It matches the Rfam family "Bacterial small subunit ribosomal RNA", at positions 28 to 507 of the family's 1533-position model. The record is from RNAcentral.